AUUGAACGCUGGCGGCAGGCUUAACACAUGCAAGUCGUGCGGUAACAGAGAGAAGCUUGCUUCUCUGCUGACGAGCGGCGGACGGGUGAGUAAUGCCUAGGAAUCUGCCUAGUAGUGGGGGAUAACUUGCCGAAAGGUAAGCUAAUACCGCAUACGUCCUACGGGAGAAAGGAGGGGACCUUCGGGCCUUUCGCUAUUAGAUGAGCCUAGGUCGGAUUAGUUAGUUGGUGAGGUAAUGGCUCACCAAGACCGCGAUCCGUAACUGGUCUGAGAGGAUGAUCAGUCACACUGGAACUGAGACACGGUCCAGACUCCUACGGGAGGCAGCAGUGGGGAAUAUUGGACAAUGGGGGGAACCCUGAUCCAGCCAUGCCGCGUGUGUGAAGAAGGUCUUAGGAUUGUAAAGCACUUUAAGUUGGGAGGAAGAGCAGUUAACUAAUAUUUGACUGUUUUGACGUUGCCGACAGAAUAAGCACCGGCUAACUUCGUGCCAGCCGCCGCAGUAA
This 506-nucleotide ribosomal RNA is filed under the name uncultured bacterium. Its description in RNAcentral is "partial 16S ribosomal RNA". It matches the Rfam family "Bacterial small subunit ribosomal RNA", at positions 30 to 523 of the family's 1533-position model. The record is from RNAcentral.